GUCUACGGCCCUGCCACCCCGAACAUGUUCGAUCUCAUCUGAUCUCAGAAGCUAAGCAGGGUCGGGCCUGGUUAGGACUUGGAUGGGAGACCACCUGGGAAGACCAGGUGCUGUAGGUG
This is a ribosomal RNA of Pteropus vampyrus (large flying fox), 119 nucleotides long. The record is from Ensembl. NCBI's taxonomy places the organism in Eukaryota, Metazoa, Chordata, Mammalia, Chiroptera, Pteropodidae.